RNAcentral lists this ribosomal RNA (481 nucleotides) under uncultured bacterium. Its description in RNAcentral is "partial 16S ribosomal RNA". It matches the Rfam family "Bacterial small subunit ribosomal RNA", at positions 28 to 507 of the family's 1533-position model. The record is from RNAcentral.
GAUGAACGCUGGCGGCGUGCUUAACACAUGCAAGUCGAACGAAGCAUUUGCGACAGAUUUUUUCGGAAUGAAGUUGCUUAUGACUGAGUGGCGGACGGGUGAGUAACGCGUGGGUAACCUGCCUUGUACUGGGGGAUAGCAGCUGGAAACGGCUGGUAAUACCGCAUAAGCGCACAAUGUUGCAUGACAUGGUGUGAAAAACUCCGGUGGUAUAAGAUGGACCCGCGUCUGAUUAGCUAGUUGGUGAGAUAACAGCCCACCAAGGCGACGAUCAGUAGCCGACCUGAGAGGGUGACCGGCCACAUUGGGACUGAGACACGGCCCAGACUCCUACGGGAGGCAGCAGUGGGGAAUAUUGCACAAUGGAGGUAACUCUGAUGCAGCGACGCCGCGUGAGUGAAGAAGUAAUUCGUUAUGUAAAGCUCUAUCAGCAGGGAAGAUAGUGACGGUACCUGACUAAGAAGCGCCGGCUAAAUACGUG